GCCUGUAUAGCUUAACGAAAGCAUAACACUGAAGAUGUUAAGAUAGACCCUAGAAAGUCUUAUAAGCA
RNAcentral lists this transfer RNA (68 nucleotides) under Solenostomus paradoxus (harlequin ghost pipefish). Its description in RNAcentral is "tRNA-Phe". It matches the Rfam family "tRNA". Rfam says of the family: Transfer RNA (tRNA) molecules are approximately 80 nucleotides in length. Lineage: Eukaryota; Metazoa; Chordata; Actinopteri; Syngnathiformes; Solenostomidae. The record is from RNAcentral.